ACCUGCCUGUAAGAUCGGGAUAACGCCGGGAAACCGGGGCUAAUACCGGAUAGUUUUUUCCUCCGCAUGGAGGAAAAAGGAAAGACGGCUUUUGCUGUCACUUACAGAUGGGCCCGCGGCGCAUUAGCUAGUUGGUGGGGUAACGGCUCACCAAGGCAACGAUGCGUAGCCGACCUGAGAGGGUGAUCGGCCACAUUGGGACUGAGA
This 207-nucleotide ribosomal RNA is filed under the name Heyndrickxia coagulans. RNAcentral describes it as "Bacillus coagulans partial 16S ribosomal RNA". It matches the Rfam family "Bacterial small subunit ribosomal RNA", at positions 124 to 324 of the family's 1533-position model. Lineage: Bacteria; Bacillati; Bacillota; Bacilli; Caryophanales; Bacillaceae. The record is from RNAcentral.